Molecule: long non-coding RNA, 16326 nt
Filed under: Medicago truncatula (barrel medic)
Lineage: Eukaryota; Viridiplantae; Streptophyta; Magnoliopsida; Fabales; Fabaceae
Description: long non-coding RNA (MTRU_LNC005385)
Source: RNAcentral
GUAUCUCCUAUAUAAACCCUUGUCCAACCCUUGUACUCGUUCGUGCCAAAGUACAAAGCUUGUACAAUAACAAUCCUCUCUUCAAACUAUCACCUCUCUCUCAAUCUCAAACCUAAACAUUACCAAAAAAAAUAUAUUCAACUUUGAUUUGAUUUAGUUCACUAGACUUUUUUACUUUCACAAGCUAUUUUGCAAAGUCUCUAGAGUCAUCAAUAGUUACUACAAUGAGCAACAUGAAGAACAAAACAGCAAAUUUGUUAAAGCAAAUCAUUGCCGAUUUAACCUCAAUGACAAAGUCAAAAACUAUGUCUUUAAAGUCCAAAACAAAUACCAUCAAAGCUCGUUCAAUUAUACUCUCAGUCAUGAACAAAAAGUUCCUUAUGAGUUCAAUUUCAGAGAAGUUUCAUUCUGUUUGGGGGAGCCAUUCUCAUCAUCACUUCAAAGAAGAUUGUUUAAUUGAAGAAGGUGGCAAUUUUGAUGAUCACAAUAAAGCCCUAGUUGUGUAUAACAACAAAGGUCACAGUUAUGAAGCGUUGCGAAAUCCAAGUGAAACACAAGUUGUGGAUGAACAACAAGACCAAGGAGAUGGAUAUGAUAGUUACUAUGGUUAUGGAGAUGAUGAUGGCAAGUACCCUGACUUGACUCACACUCUUUUUGAUUUUGAAGGAUUGGAUUUUGAUGGCUCAGUGAUUGAUAAGGUGAAGAUUUGCAAGGAAGAAGCAGGGAAAGAGUUUAAACUUGAGGAUGAUAUUGAUGAAGUUGCCGAUCUUUUUAUUAGGAGGUUUAAAAGAAAUAUAAUUUUGCAAAAACAAGAUUCAUUGAGGAGGAGGAGGGAAACCGUGCAAAAGGGUACUUAAAUUUUGAUAUGCAUUCUUAAUUCAACGACUCUUCAGCUAUCGAAAUACACAAAAGCUCAAGCUCGUCUUUCUUUGCCUUCGAAAUCUAGACUGACGAGUCAUCAAUGUUGAUUGGACGAUUCAGAUGCGACCGACUAUGUGCAGUCCCAAGUAUUGCACAUAAUCCAAAUAAGAAUUUUAGAUGCCUAUUUACCUUAGUCUUUAUAGGCUCAAUAUUACAUUUUGUUUCAACUAUAUACCACCAUGAAUCUUCAUGAUUUGUUUGUCAUCACUUAUCGCUUGGCAUUGAAUGAGCUAAGAAGUCUUUCUUGGACUAUAUUGCAACCAUUAGUGUCACCAUUGCUGUAGAAUGGAUUCCUUGUGAUAUAAUGUGAUACAAAUUAACAUCUUUACGUUAGUGAGACUUAAACAAGGGGAGAAGAAAGGAAAAAAAAUUCAAUGUAAUGUGAUGCAUGAUAGAAUUUGUGAACAUAUGGAAUCUUCACUUAUGGGUCAUUGUUUUGGUUCGGACGAUUCAAAUUAUGAGAGAUAAAGUUAAUAAACUAAAAUUAUUUUAAUGGUAAAUUUUCUUUUAAGGAUGAUUGUGUGACUAGUUCUAUCGUGUGUGUAAUAAUACAGAUUAGGCUUAAUGAUGUGAUUAGUCCUUGCAAUUAGGCGUCAUUUAAAAAUUCGUUCCUGUAAUUGCUAAUCCUGACAAUUUAGCCUUGCAAUUGUUAAUCAUUUAAAAUUUGGUCCUUGGACCAACUUAAUCACUGCCACGUCACUAAUUUGAUGACGUGGCAAUCACUGUCACACAUGAAAUUCCAAUUUUGCCCUUAAGAAGAGGACAAAAUAUUGAAGAAAGAAUUGGAAACCCAGGGGUAAAUUUGGAAUUUCAUGUGGCGUGGCAGUGAUUAAGUGGGGAGAGGGACGAAAUUUUAAAUGAUUAACAAUUGCAAGGCUAAAUUGCCAGGAUUAGCAAUUACAUGGACGAAUUUUUAAACGACGCCUAAUUGCAAGGACUAAUCACAUCAUUAAGCCUAGAGAUUAUAUAUGGACAAAUAAAGCACACUGUUUUUUUAAUCAACAAAAGCACACCAUGUUAAAGUAAAGUAAAGAGAAAGCUAAAAGCUGAACUUUGAGAGGUAAGUUAUUUAUUAGGUCAUCUUCUUGCUGAGCUGAAACUUUAAAUAAAAAAUAUUUAUUAUAUAUAAUAAUUAUAUCAAGUUCUAGAAACACAAAAAGAAAUAUACACACGUUCUUUUUAAGUUAUAGUGACAUAUUAAUCUUUACAGCCUAGAUUGCACAAUGAUUCCUAAACUCACGUUAGUUUCUAACCAAAAAAUGAAAAGCAAAAUCAAUCAAAUCUCGUCCGUGCAGCUAAGUGCACAUCUUUUGGUUUCGAAUGGAACAGAGGUACAUGAUUUAUAUAACUAAAAAUGCAUGCAUGCAUGUAUUUCCUAUAAAUAAAUAAGUUAGUUUACUUUAAUGAGAAUAUUUGGAUCAACAAGGCAACUAAAAAAACCCAAAGCCAAAGCUAUUAUCGAUCUCGACUGCAACAUCAUCAUCAAGUUGUCCAAAAAAGAAGCCGUUUGAGAAGCUACAAAGAAAGGCCCACAAAGCAGAUUGGAAAAAGUUAUGACAUACAUCCAUGCGAUGCACCUUAAUUUCAUAAUUUGGUUUGUUUGACAUUGUGUUGAUUAAUUUUAAUUUUGUGACAUACUAGUAAAAGGAUUCAAAUAUCUCUCUCAUUCUCUCAAUACACUAGGUAAAAUUUGGAUUAAAUGUAAGGUAAAGCAACCACUUGACAUAUAUUCUUUGCUUGACUUAUAUUUUGCGAAUUGUUGUUUUUUUUUUUUAAAGAAUUUGCGAAUUGUUGUUGUAAUUAACCCUUUAACAUUUAUGUAAAGUGGUUAAUACUAUCUCUUUGGAUCAGGUUGAAGCAACUCAAUUUUACUCUGAAUAUUUCAUUUUGCUUAUAAAUUUAGCAAGACAUAUGUUAUCCUUGAAAAUUUGUGGAGUAACCUUCAAAUGGUGUCCAAAAAGGCUUGGCGGCGCAGCUUAUUGUCCACUUGCCUUCUAUUCAAGUGUAAAUAAUGGUUUAUAUAUAUGACAUUGGUGUCGAUAAACUAAUUUUAACUUCACGUGCAAAUUUGCUUUAUUGAUUAGUUUUCAUUGGUCGUUGGAUAAAUUAUCCAUAAUUUUUAGUUUUUGGUCAAAUACCCUCCUACUGGCCUGGCUACUACUACCAUAAGCUCAUGGGGACAAAUUAUCCAUAAUUAUUUCAGGGUAACUAAGAGCAAACUUAUAUAUAUUUACAUCUCCGGGUAAAUACAACAUAACAAAUAUACUUAACCCGAAAGAAGAAGAAAAAAAAAAUUACCCCGAAGAAGACAAUACCUCUAAAUUUAUGCCUAAAGCAAAACUUUGCAAAACAUGCUAGCUGCUUUGUGAUAUCAUAAAGGUGUAGAAUACUAAUGUUCAAAAUUAUAUAGGGACCACAUUUGCAAAAGUAUAAUCAAAAGAUUUUUAAAACAAUAACUUUGCAUUAUAUAUAGCUGUUCAUGUUCAACUAGAUAUUAAAUACUCUAUCAUUUUUAGAUAUAUAUUCAUAAAGCAUGUUACCAAUAAUAGCAAAAAGAAAUUCAAAUAGAAGAAAUGCACAAGAAUCAUGAGGUUAUUUGAAUUUUAGCAGCCGUUCUUAGCAGUGUGGUUAGACUUUUUUAAAUUUAGGCAAUACAUUUUCUGUUCCAAUUAAUAUCCAAUUUACCAAUCCAACCAGGCGUGUGGUUAUUAAACUUCUCUUAAUCUGUACAUAGGUCAAAUCAGAUAGUUGAUAUAUGUGAGCAACAUAUAUGCGUAAUGCAUGCAUUUUCUUGUUGCUUUUGAAAUUAAUGUGGGAAAAGAAAAAUCACAACCGAUAUUACCUAGCUUAUUCAAUUUUGGUUUUUAUAUAGAUCAAGUUGGGACAACUAAUUUACACCGAAGCCACUAUAUUUGAAAUUGAUCGAGCUAGGAGGUCUAAAAUCUGAAAGCAAAAACAAUAUAUACGAAAAAGUUUUACAAUCAUAUGUACUAUUUUGAUUAGGAAACUAAAUAUUUGAGUGGUUGGUUUUCAUACAAACAAGGGAUUGUACGUUCUAUUCAAAAUGCCAUAUAUAUUGAUGAUUUAGUUGGUACAAAAUAAGUGGAACCAAUGCUAUUGUACAAAACGUCAUUUAUGAAUAAAGGGUGUGUAUGUAUGUAUAAUUGUCCUUUAGAAAAUGAUCUUUGUAUUAAAGAAAAUGUUGACCUUGCAAAGUUUAAAUGGAGAGGAUCUUAACCCCUUGAAGAUGAACUUUAAAAUUAAUGACAAUUAAAUUCCGUUAGCAGGGGUGGAAGUAAAGGUAAACAAAUUUUUAUAGCUUUAUUCUUAUCUAAAAAGUUGUUAUAUCCUAUUAAAAUUACUGAAAAUAUGCGCAAUUCUUAAAUGAGAAUUACACUUUUGUAUGUUUGGUUCCAUUUUAGAGGAAUUGGAAUUGAUUAAACUAUAGAAUUGAUUUUGAUAAUUUGGUUGUUUUUUUAGAGGGACAAUUUGGUUGUUGUCAAGUAGAACUGAUUCUAUGUCUACGAUUAAUUCUACGAGUUAGAAUUUGUAGCUUUUGAUAUUAGAAUUGAUUUUCCCACAUAAAUUUAUAAUUUAACUCACUUUUACACGGAUGUAUCUAAACACAAUCAAUUAUAGUCAGAAUCGUUUUUUUUUUUUUAACUAAAAUCAAUUCUACAUAAUCAAUUCAAUCAAAAUCAAUUUUUCCCACUGCACAACCAAACACAUGCUUAGUGAUUGGUGUAUCCGAAAAGAACGAAAUCAAGUAGUGUUUAAGCAUUCACAUUUUGGUGAUUUGCCAUCUUAUAAAAAAUCGUAACACUUAAGUCUUCAAAUGUGAAAAAAAAUCAAAGGGAUAGAAUACUCAUGCCUUAAGAUUUGUAACAUUGACGCUUAAGUCAUUAUUGAAUAUGUAUAGAAUCGAAAUUGAUAUGUCAAUUUAAAACAAACGAAUACCGUAACAAAGGCAACGAAUAAAACACCACCUUACCUCGACAUCGAAACCACGGGAAAACACAACAACAAAAAAAUCAAAUAUAUGUGGAAAUUACUUAUUUAAAUAAUAAUGAUGUAGACUUGUGAUUCUAGGCUAAGUCGAGCCAUACUUUACAAGACCUAAGAUUGUCUUGUAUGAGUUUGACCUAUUGAAAGUUUCAUAUGAUCUGCUAUCCUGUUUAAAAGCAUAUUUCAUAUGACCGUCUUUAAAUAAAUAAUGUGAUCUAAAUUUAAAUAGACUAACAAGCAAAUAGAUCAACGAGAUUAAACUCCCUUUUGAUAUUAAAUAUGAUUUUUUUUAGAAAAUUCGACUAUGUAUUCUAUCAUAUUUCAAUUCUAGUUUAUAAUAUUACAUUUAAAUAUGCAAAAAUUUAAUGUUCACAAAUAAGCUUAAAUUACUGAAAAGAUUAACCUUGCUAGCCUUACUAUCAAGUACUGCAUCGAUUCGAAUUUCUCUCCCUCUCCAACAAGCCGGCCCUAGCUCUCUCUCUCUCUAGGUUUUCUCUUACGGUUUCUUCAUUGAGGGGUGGUUUUGGGUCAAUUCUUGACCUGAAAUCACAUGUCUUCAUCGUUUUCUCUCUAUUUCAAUCUAAAUAAGUGAUUUUCACAUAGAUCUAGGUUUUUCUUUCUUUGUGAUUUUUUGUUGUUCGUCGUCUUGUGCGGCGUUGUUUGAUUUCCCGUCUUUGUGCGGUGUUCAUUUGAUUCAUAUUGAAAUAUCGAUUAUUCAAUCAAAGAUUUGGGCGUCAACGUUACAGAUCUGGAGGCCAUGGAUAUUCCGGUCACUUUAGUUUUAUCAUAUAUUUUUGUAGGCAUUAUGCCGUUAUAUGCUAUUAACUUGGAUGCUGUAAGUUUGUUCGUAGAUUCAUCCUUUACGUUUUUAGCGGUGUUGAAUGAUGUAGUCUCUCGAUUUGAAUGAAUGAAUAUCAUUUUGUUUUUGUAAAAAAAUAAUAAUAAUUAAAAGUACCAAAAUAUAAUACAACAAUAUUAGUAAUAAAUAAUAUAAUUAUUCAUAUUUACUUAAAUAGACCAAUCUGAUAGGUUUAAGAGGUUUUCUUAUGGCUUGCGACCUGACCUUUUUUAACUAAAUAUUGCAUCUAAAAAACUCUAAGCUUUCUCUAUUUAAACAAAAAAUGAUCUAUUAUAAAUUAGGUUGUAGGCCUCUCUAGACCGACAUGGCUUAUUUUCAUCCCUAGUAUUACUCUUUUUUUUACUUAUUUUUUAAAUUAUUUUAGCACCAUUGACAUGAAAAACAACAAAGCACACGGCACUAGAAAAGUAGAGAAGAUUAAAAUGAAAAUCGUAUGGCUCUUGUGAGCAACCUUAGGGGCUAAGUUCUUAUAAAUACCUUUAAAAACUUCAACAAUUGGACGUAUUCAAUCACAUGCUCCCUUCAAAACUUCCUCACGCUUUGACUUGAAAUCCGUUUCUAAGUGGCCCAAAAUUUUGAACAAUCCUAUAAACAUGAUUUUGAAUCAAAUUAAUCUUGUAAAAUUACAAUUCAGUUUUAUUUUAAUUAAGGUUUGGAAUUAUAAUUAAUUUAAAAAUUACUAUUGAUAUAGAUAGUUAGACAUUCCACUCACACAAGUUGUGACUCGAGUUCGAGUAAAAAACAAUUGAUAAGUUAUGUAAAUACCAUUGUAAAUCUACAACGAGGUUCUCCGACCUUCCAUGGGUUUACCUCUCCUAAUCUAGUGUUUUUAUAAACAAUAAUUAAAAUCAAUUUGUUUUUUUUUUUAUUAUUUCACUAUGCUUUAGCAAAUUAGUAUUCUAAAAAUCAAUCUCCUUGAACCAAGACCAUUUGGGUGAGGGAGCGGUUAUGGUGCAUAAGGAAAUCCUUAUACACCGUGCAUAAAUCUCAACAUAAUUGCUUCCUACACCCUCAAAGGAAAUCAAAUAAAAUAAAACAAAACGAACCAAACGCGGAAACAAACUGAAUCAUCACCUUCGUUCAUCAACAUACCACUUAAACAGCCAUAACUCAAAAGACCCCCUAUCAUCAAAUGACAAGUGUCCUUCAACUUCAGUACCACCUUUAACUUCUUUUUUCACUUUGCUUUUGUUUUCUUAACCCUCGCUCUUUCUUUUUUUGCACUUGUUUCAAUCACACAAAUUAAUUGUCACACUACAUUAUUAUUAUUCUUACCUUAUAGUAUCUCCUAUAUAAACCCUUGGCCACACCUUGUCCUCUUUCGUGCCAAAGUACAAAGCUUGUACAAUAACAAUCCUCUCUUCAAACUAUCACCUCUCUAUCAAUCUCAAACCUAAACAUUCCCAAAAUUGUUAUCCAAAUUUGAUUUAGUUCAUUCAACUAUUUUACUUUCAUAAGCUAUUUUGCAAAGUCAUCAAUUAUUACUACAAUGAGCAACAUGAUGAACAAAACAGCAAAAUUGCAGAAGCAAAUUAUAGCUGGUUUAACAAAGUCCAAAACUAUGGCAUUAAAGUCCAAAACAAAUGCCAUCAAAGCUCGUUUAAUUAUAUUCUCACUCAUGAAGAAUAAAAAGUUCCUUAUGAGUUCAAUUUCAGAUAAGUUUCAUUCUGUUUGGGGGAGUCAUUCUCAUCAUCACUCCAAAGAAGGUGGCAAUUAUGAUGAUCAUAAUAGAGCCAUGGUUGUGUAUUACAACAAUGCUCACACUUAUGAGGCGUUGCGAAAUCCAAGUGAAACACAAGUUGUGGAUGAACAAGAUCAAGAAGAUGGACAUGGUGGUUACUAUGAUGAUGAUAAUCCUUUUGGUUCUCAGGGAUUGGAUUUUGACGGAUCGGUGAUUGAUAAGGUGAAGAAUUGUAAGGAAGAAGCAGGGAAAGAAUUUAAACUUGAGGAUGAUAUUGAUGAAGUUGCUGAUCUUUUUAUUAGGAGGUUUAAAAGGAAUAUAAUCUUGCAAAAACAAGAUUCAUUGAAGAGGAAGAGGGAAAUGGUCCAAAAGGGUGCUUGAAUUUUCAGUUCAUUUUUUUAUUUUGAGUCCAAAAGGGUGCUUGUAUAUAGGAUCCAAACUCCUUGAAAUAUUUUAUUGAAAUCUGGACCGUCAAUAUUUUGAUUUGACGAUUCAGAUGUGAAGUCACAAGUACCGCACACAAUCAAAAUAAGAGUUCUAGAUGCCUAUAUACUUUAGUUUUGUAGGCUCAAUAUUACAUUUUGCUUGAACUAUGUACUACCAUGUUUAAUUUCAUGAUUUUGGCAUCGGUUAUAAUUUGGCCUUUACGUGCAGAACUAAUAUGCCUUUGUUGGACUAUAUGCAUUGCAGCCAUUAGACUCACCAUGCUUGUUGGACUAUAUAAAUGAAUGAGUGACAUCAGAAAAAAAAUUUAAAAAUGAGGAACCAAAAUUUAGGAAAAAGAUGAACGGGGACCAAGAAACUGAUAUUUAAAAGGCUUUAAUAUGUGUUUUGUCCUUGUAAUUAGGGGUCAUUUAAAAUUUGGUCCCUGUAAUCGUUAAUCCUGGCAAAUUGCCCUUGCAAAUAUUAAUCAUUUAAAAUUUCGUUCCUUGACCCAAUCAAUGACUGCCACUUCAUCAAAUUAGCAAAAUUGCAUGGGAAUGGACCAAAAUACACUCAUUUUUCUUAUUGCCCAGAAUACCAUCUUGGAGCCCAUAAAAAUAGCAUGGAACAGAAUAAAAAUAUUCAUCUUAAUCGAAGUCACAACAACAACAAUAUCAACUACAACUUCCUCUGAAAUUGAAGAAUCCAAAAUUCAUCUCUCAAUUGAAGAACAUAGAACACACAACAAACCUAUUCAGAAAACACCAUAAAAAACCAUAACAACAUAAAAUCCACCCUCUUCUUCUCCACCCUCCGAUUCAGAAACAACAACAGCCGGAGAACACCGCGAAGUGGAUCUUUUCUCCGAUGAAAUCCUUCCGGAUCGUACACACAAUGAGAUCUGAACGAAAGAGGUAACAACUGAUAUCAGUAAAUCAAACCAAAUCAAUCUAUUGAGGAGGAAUCGAGGGAGUGGAAGAACGCCGGCGAGGGAGGAGGAUCGGACUUGGGAUGGCCUAAUCGUUGGAAACAUGUUGAUGAAGCUGAGGUGUGUUAAACAGUUCCCACUUUAAUUUCAAAGUUUCUAGCAUCUUCUUAGCUUCACGCUGCUGUUAAUUACAAAGAAAGAAACAAACUGUUAAAGAAAAUUGGUGUUCGAAGAUAAAAGAAAAUUGAAAAAUUGAAGAGUUUUCAUUCUUACACAGUAGCCAUUGAUUAUGCUCCUGCACUUAAAUGUGUCUAUGUUCAAGUCAGCGCAAUUCAUCUCUUUCCAAGUGAAACUAGUUUAGAGUUGGAAUUACAUUUCCACACUUAUGUCCAAUCUAUCUAUUUGUCAAAAAAAAGUCCAAUUAAAAAAAAAGGAAGAGGGAGGAAGAAAGGGGUACGAAUAGGGAAGAGGCAAGAGGGUAUUCUGGGCUUCAAGAUGAUGAAGCUAUGAAUUCUGGACAAUAAGAAGAAUGAGGGUAUUUUUGUCUAUUUCCAUGCAAUUUUGCUAAUUUGAUGACGUGGCAGUUAUUAAGUGGGUCAAGGGACGAAAUUUUAAAUGAUUAAUAUUUGCAAGGGCAAUUUGUCAGGAUUAGCGAUUACAAGGACCAAAUUUUAAAUGACCCCUAAUUGCAAGGGCGAAACACAUAUUAAAGCCUAUUUAAAAUAAGGGAAGCAAGACUUCAUUUUUUUAAAUAGAGGGAUCGAAUGUGUGUUUAAGCAUAAAAUUAUUCAAAAAUAUUUUGUGAGGACAACACUUGAUUUAUAAUAAAAUUAAUCAACAUUAGGUGUUCAAAUUAACGGAAACAACACUCAAUAGAAAACCACAAAUUGAACUAACUCAAACUAAAAAUCGCAAAAAAUUAUAUUUGAUUGGGAUUUAUUUGGGCAACUUUUUCACUUGACUUUACGAUUCAGUUUGCGGUUUUUGUUUACCACACGAACCAAACCAAACUAAAACGCAAACUUAUAGAAACACUCAAGCAAUCCAAACACUCACUCAGCCCAAAAUAGUCAUUUUUUAUUAUAUUUUUUCUUAGCCCUUUCUUUUUUCUUUUUUACAAUACAAGUCGUAUAAAAUAUACAACACCAAUGUCAUCCAUAAAAUAGAGAAUAAACUUUACAAAUCGUAUAAAAAAGAGGUAAUUGUAAAAAGUUUAAUUUAUAUACAUUGUCAUUCUACAUUUUUUUUUACUGAUGCAUCAAUGCUCUGUUGCUAUAUCAAUUAAUGAGAUAUGAAAAGUCAUGUAUUUUUAACUCGUUACGUGAUGUGGCAACACAUAAUUGAAUGCAUGUGUAAAAGUUUUGUACAAUAUAUAUAAACAAAAUGCAAUUGUAAAUAUUGAUGAUUUUGGUUAUAUUUUCAUUUAGCCCUUUUUUCUUCUAUUUGUAAUUGAAGUUAAUCGUUAAUUGUAACACUUUUUUUUUAGGACAUGGUUGCACCUUUUCUUAUGUGCCUUAUAAUGAUAUUAGACCAUCCACAACAGGGCACUCCGAUUUAAGUGCUUAAAUGGAACUCCUUUGUCCACAUCACUCAUUUUAUGAUAGUACUUACUAAGCACCAAUUUUUUUCAAUCCAGCACCGCAAAAAAAAUUACUAAAUAUGUUCCACACCGCGAACAAAUUACAUCACUCAUUUUAUGAUAGUACUUAUUUAGAAGUUUGUACCAAAUAAAAAGAAAUAUAAUGAUAUUAGAAGUUAAUUGUAAAUCGUUGGAAAUUAGUUAAUUAAUUGUUGUAGCAAAUAUAAUUAAAACUGUUGACAAUUUUUAAAAAUUACAUGCUAGCUUGCAAAAUACCAAACAACACCGCGAACACACCAAUGUAUCCCCAAUUGGUUGAACCUACAUCCGUCCUUGCUUGAUUAAAGUCAUUUUCUUUCUGUGCUAAGACUUUCAACAACACGAAUAAUUUAUAUAUAAUAAUCAUAUAAUGUUCCAUAAGCUACAAAAAUAUCCAACUUAUAUACACAUGUUCUUCUAAAUUAUAACGAUUGAUUAAUCUUUACAGCCUAGAUUGCACAACGAUCCUAACCUCGUGUUAAUUUCCCACCAAAAAAAUGAAAAGCAAAAUCAAUCAAAUCUCGUCCGUGCAACUAAGUGCAUCUCUUUUGGUUUCAAUUGGAACAGAGGUACAUAACUUAUACAACUACAAAUGCAUGCACGUAUUUCCUAUAAAUAAAUAAAUAAAUUAGUUUACUUUAGUGAGAAUAUUGGAUGAACAAGGCAACUAAAACCAUAGCCAAAGCUAUUAUCGAUCUAGACUUCAACCUACCUUUCCACUAUUAAAAAAAAUCCAAGUUGUACUACAAAAAAAAGCCGUUUGAGAAACUACAAAGAAAGGCCCACAAAGUAGAUUGGAAAAAGUUAUGACAUACAUGCAUAUCCAUGCACCUUAAUUUUUUUUCAUAAUUUGGCUAGUUUGAUAUUAGUGUUGCUUAAUUUAAUUUCGUGAGACAAUGGUAAAAGGAUACUAAUAUCUCUAUCAUUCUCUCAAUACAUUGAGUGAAAUUUUGAUUAAAUGUAAGGUUAAACAACCCCUUGACAUAUAUUAUUGUAAGAACUCAAUUUUACUGAUAUGUAUAAUUCAUUUUGCUUAUGAAUAAAUAUGAAUUUACUAUAUACAUAUCCUUAUAAAAACAACAUAGAAUUAAACUUAGCCGGUAGAAGGCAAUAUACCUUCAAAUGCAUGCCUAUAUUCAGCUAAAUUAUAUAGGGACCACAUUUGCAAAAGUAUUAUCAAAAGAUUUUUAAAACUAUAACUUUGCAUUAUAUAGCCGUUCAUGUUCAACUAGAUAUUAAAUACUCUAUCAUUUAUAGACAUACAUUCAUAAAGCAUGUAAAAGAAAUUCCAAUAGAAGAAACGCACAAAUGAGAUUAUUUGAAUUCAAGCAGCCGUUCUUAAUUAGUGCUUAAUUGGACUUUUUUGAAUUUUGGCAAUGCAUUUUUUGUGUGCUAAAUUAUGACCACUUUGUCGAGCUUUAUACGUAGGUCAAAUCAGAUGGUUGAGACAUGGGAACAACAUUUACGUAAUGCAUGCAUUUUCUUGUUGCUUUUGAAAUUACUCCUAUUGAAAACAAAACACGAAAAGCACCCACUACCCCAAAAUCAAAGCCAUACCCAAAAUUAGCUAGCCGCCUCCUCCAUUCUCUCUUCCACGGGAGACGGAGAGGGGUGGUUUAGAGCUAAAAAAUUUUUAUCCGAAAUAACCCUAAAUCAUUUUUUCUUUUUAUUUAAACAAGUGAUUUAUACAAAUAUUUUGUCGUUUUAAUUUAAUGCAAUGCGUAUUUCUAACACCUUAAUUUCUUCAUAUUUGUAGGUUUUUUCAUACUUAUAGGUAUUUGUUGUUAUUAACGUAGAUGCUAUAAAUUAUUUGAUUGAUUUAGUCUAUCAAUUUAAACGAAUGUCAUUUUUUAUAAAGUAAAAAAGGCAACAAUUAAUUUAUACCAAAGCAACUAAAUUUGAAAUUGCACAAGUGAGUGCGAUCGAGCUAGGAGGUCUAAACUCCAAAAGCAAAAAUAAAAUCUAUAGGAAAAAGUUUACAAUCAUAUGUACUAUUUUGAUUAGGUAACUAGAUAUUUGAGUGGUUGGUUUCCAUACAAACAAGGGGUUCGUCAUAUGGAUGAUUUAUUUGGUACCAAUGCGUGGGACCAAUGCUAUUGUACAUAUGUUUAAUACAUAUUUCAUUUAGAAAAUGACUGUAAAAAAAAGUUGACCUUGCCAAGUUUAAACUAAAGCAACCCACUUUAAGAUUAAUGACGAUGAAAUUUAGCUAGCAGGGCUGGAAAUAGGUUAACAAGUUUUUAUAUAAUUAUGCCUACCCAAAAAAAAGUUUUUAUAUCAUAUCAAAAUUGGGGAUAAUCUGUGAAAAUCUUAGAUGAGAAUUAUACUUACCACAUAAAUAAAUUAAUUUCUUUGAAACAAUGGAUAUAAUAAUUGUUGAGGCGUUUCUAUGGAUUUUGUAAAAAUAAAAUAAAAUAUGAGUUUAGUUAAUUGACACGAUCUUGCGCACCCUCAACAACAGUUCUCUCCUUCAAAUUAUAUUUACUAUCUCAUGAGAUUUAAAAUAAUAAUGGAACCAAGUUCUUAAACAUAAUAAAAUAAUGAACUCAAGAGAUUAAUGAUCACCUGUUAAAAAGAAAUCAUUUUGGGAGAAUUCGAAUUUGAGUCCCAAAUUCAGAUUUAGUGGAGCCCCAAACCCCUAAAAAAGUAGGGUUAAGACAAAAUAAGUAUUUUUUUAUUUUCUAGAUGGAUAACAUAUAACUAUGGAUUGCUUGUUAAGGGUUUAACAUUCUGCAUGAUGACGGAAGUUAAUUUUUGUUGUUUGAGCUUGCUCAUUUUCUUUUGUCUUAUAAGUUUGCAUUUGGGUUGAGUUUCCUAACACUUGUUAGCAAAACCAUUUGUAAUAGUAUUCUUCUUUGCUGAAUAAAAAAAAAUACAAUGGAAACACACCCCAAUCACUUUAGCCUACAAGUGUACAAAUUGCAUCUAACAAUAAAAAAAUCAUCCUAAUAAAUGAGGGAACAUCAUCCCACCAAGUAUUGAAAUGAGAAGCAACGGAAAGAGAGGUUAGUUAUAUAUGCACAACAAUUGCCAAUCUCUAAAAAUAUGAGAAACUAAAAGAGUAAUAAUAUUUUCAACAUCAAAAUUUUGAUAAUUUAUGUGACAACCUAUAAAACAAAGUGUUAAUUUGAUUAAGAGAGAGAAAGAAAAAAAAUACUAUAAAACUCUCAUGAGUUGUUUUUAGUGUGAUUUUAUAAAUUGUCAUAUAAAUUGUCAAAAUUUUAAUGUUCAAAUAUCUUUGCUCAAACUAAAAAGCAUCUCUAAAAUUAAGUAGUCUUUUCACUAAAAAUUAUUGAAUAAUUUUAUAUGUAAAGAAUCAAAUCCAAAUCAGUGUGAGAGAUAAAUUAUAUAUAUACUCAAAAAUUUGAAGAAGCAUCAACAUCUCUAUAAUUAUUCAUCUGAAAUUUGUUGCUAGCACUUCUCUAUUCUUUAUGUGUCUUCAUAUUUUAAAAUUAAUUUGUAUUUUUUUCAUUUUCAACACAGUUAAACAUUCCCUCAAAAAAAAAAAAAAAAAUACACAGUUAAACAUCUCAAAAGAACAUUGUCAAAUAUCUCUCACAAACUAUAUUUAAAAUAUGAAGACACAUAAAGAAUAAAUGUGUUGAAAAUAUUAGUGAUGUUAUUAUAAUUGUUUUUUAAUAUAAACAUCUACAAUAUACAAUCUUGCCUCACUGAUAAAAUAUUUUGGACGAGUUUCUGGUUUUUUGAGUUUACGCUAUAAAAAAUUUGAUGUUGACAUUAUUCUUUUAAUUUAUUUCAAUUAUUUUACUUCCAUUGACAUGAAAAACAACAAAGCACACGGCACUAGAAAGUGGAGAAGAUUAAAAUGAAAAUCGUAAGGCUCUUGUGAGCAACCUUAGGGGCUAAGUUUUCAUAAAAAAAUCUACAAUAAUUUGAAUAUAUUCAAUCAAGCUCACUUCAAAAACUUCCUCACGCCAUGCCUUGAAAUCCGUUGCAAUAGUCAAAUUAGUGGCCCAGAAUAUUUGAACAGUGCUAUAAUCUAAGCCUUUACCUUUUUUUUUGAAGGGAUUUAAGCCACCUUGGUGAAGUUGAUUGUGAUAAUAUGAUUUUGACUACACUAAGCAAUUGAGAUUCCUAUUUCUAACAAAAACAAUUGAAUAAAGAUCAAAUGCAAUGUCAGUGGUACCACCCUUCUCCCCAUAUCACAAAAGAUUAGAGUCUGUAUAAUAAUGGUCUAUUGUGGAUGGUUAUUUUUGUCAUUUACCCCAAAAAUAUAUAAAGUUAAUGGAUUGAGUAGUAAUUAUUCCAUAGCAUCUGGUGGGUUAGGUUGGUUUGCCAGUGUGCCCAUAUCAUAUCAUUUCCUCAAAAGCUUCAAAGGUCCCCCAAAAUAGUGGUCAAAUUAUUGUAAGGGGCCAUAUGAAACCGUCUAUACUACAAAAGCAAGGGGACUUUGUUUUCUGUUUUUGUGGUUUUGUAAUUUCUUUAAUAAUUCUAUUAUGUGGAUUUAUUUCAUGGAUCCAUUAUAUUUCUUACUGUUUAAAAAUACAACUCCUCAAGAAAAACUGUUUAAAAAUACAAGUUUAAACAAAUUUUAGCCUAUAAACUAAUUAAAAUUACUCAUAAAAUUACUAGCUUUCUAAGAUGAAUAUUUGAUGAACAUAAUUUGAAAUGAAAAUUGAUUUUAAAGAAUUAAUUUAAUUACAAUUGAAUUUUAAGUAAAGUAAUUUUUAUUUAAGUAUUUUUAUGCUAUAAUCAAAUUUGAGAUAAAAUUCCCAGUCAAAAGUUUGACACCAGAUUUUGUGAUUUUUUAACCUGAUACAAAAAUAUCUUUUUGUAACGGUACCCAAAUAAAAAAUAUCACUAAACAAAAAUCAAUUAUUAUACUCUACCAUGGAAUAAAACAUAUACUUUUCUUUAUCAGAGAAAUCAAACAGAUACUUAACACUGCAGAAUCUGUUUUCUGAUUUCACUCUAAUCAAGCAAAUUAAUUAUUCAAAAAUCAACUUUUUGUAAUUGAUUCUAACCCUAGUUUUGUUUUUGAAAGAUGAUUCUAGCCGGAUAGCACUUGUGUACUAUAAUGGUAUAUACCAUUGCCUAAUUAGAAUGUGUCACGUGGCACACCCUUUAAAAAAAUAUAUCAAAUAAAGAAUUUAUAAAGUAACAUUGAUAGAUGGGACACUCUAAUUUACCAAUGGUAUAUAUCAUUAGUAAUCGUACACAAGUAGAAUCCUAUUCUAACCCUAGUUGAUUUCCUUGAAAUUGUUUAAGCAGAAAUGAACCAAAAGAGCUCCAAAUUAUACUUUGGUACCAAUAACAACACAAAGGAUCAUGAAGAGCCAAUGAAGGUCACACUUUAAUGUACUUUAUGAAGAGAAAUCAAAUCACAAAUUCAUAUAGUUUUGUUAAAAGUAAUAGAGUUCCACACUCCCAACCAAAAUUUUCAACUUCGUUAACCACUUAAACAGCCAUAACUCAAAAACCCUAUCAUGACAUGCCAAGUAUCCCUACUUUAUCAACCAACUUUAACUUUUUUUUCACUUUGCUUUUCUUUUCUUAACCCCGACUCUUUCUUUUGUUGCACUUGUUCCUCUCACACAAAACACUACUUUUAUUAAAUUAUGUUAAUUGUCACACUACAUUAUAUUAUUAUUAAUCAUACCUUAUAGUAUCUCUCCUAUAUAAACCCUUGUCCAACCCUUGUACUCGUUCGUGCCAAAGUACAAAGCUUGUACAAUAACCAAUCCUCUCUUCAAACUAUCACCUCUCUCUCAAUCUCAAACCUAAACAAUACCAAAAUUGUUUUUUAAAUUUUGAUUUGAUUUAGUUCAUUAAACUUUUUUACUUUCACUACCUAUUUUGCUAAGUCUCUAGAGUCAUCAAUUAUUACUACAAUGACAAACAUGAAGAGCAAAACAGCAAAAUUGUUGAAG